This 165-nucleotide ribosomal RNA is filed under the name uncultured bacterium. RNAcentral's name for it is "partial 16S ribosomal RNA". It matches the Rfam family "Bacterial small subunit ribosomal RNA", at positions 1334 to 1500 of the family's 1533-position model. The record is from RNAcentral.
GCUAGUAAUGGCAGGUCAGCAUACUGCCGUGAAUACGUUCCCGGGCCUUGUACACACCGCCCGUCACACCAUGAGAGUUGGGGAUACCCGAAGCCUGUGAGCUAACUUUUAGAGGCAGCAGUCGAAGGUAGAAUCAAUGAUUGGGUGAAGUCGUAACAAGGUAUC